AGAGUUUGAUCCUGGCUCAGGAUGAACGCUGGCGGCGUGCUUAACACAUGCAAGUCGAACGAACCUUCGGGUUAGUGGCGGACGGGUGAGUAACGCGUGAGAAUCUGCCCUCAGGAGGGGGAUAACGGCUGGAAACGGCCGCUAAUACCCCAUAUGCCGAGAGGUGAAAUGAAUUUCGCCUGAGGAUGAGCUCGCGUCUGAUUAGCUAGUUGGUGUGGUAAAGGCUCACCAAGGCAUCGAUCAGUAGCUGGUCUGAGAGGAUGAUCAGCCACACUGGGACUGAGACACGGCCCAGACUCCUACGGGAGGCAGCAGUGGGGAAUUUUCCGCAAUGGGCGCAAGCCUGACGGAGCAACGCCGCGUGAGGGAUGAAGGCCUCUGGGCUGUAAACCUCUUUUAUCAAGGAAGAAGAUCUGACGGUACUUGAUGAAUAAGCCACGGCUAAUUCCGUGCCAGCAGCCGCGGUAAUACGGGAGUGGCAAGCGUUAUCCGGAAUUAUUGGGCGUAAAGCGUCCGCAGGCGGUCUUGAAAGUCUGUUGUUAAAGCGUGGAGCUCAACUCCAUUUCAGCAAUGGAAACUAGAAGACUAGAGUGUGGUAGGGGCAGAGGGAAUUCCCGGUGUAGCGGUGAAAUGCGUAGAUAUCGGGAAGAACACCAGUGGCGAAGGCGCUCUGCUGGGCCAUAACUGACGCUCAUGGACGAAAGCCAGGGGAGCGAAAGGGAUUAGAUACCCCUGUAGUCCUGGCCGUAAACGAUGAACACUAGGUGUCGGGGGAAUCGACCCCCUCGGUGUCGUAGCCAACGCGUUAAGUGUUCCGCCUGGGGAGUACGCACGCAAGUGUGAAACUCAAAGGAAUUGACGGGGGCCCGCACAAGCGGUGGAGUAUGUGGUUUAAUUCGAUGCAACGCGAAGAACCUUACCAGGGUUUGACAUCCUGCGAAUCCCUUGGAAACUUGGGAGUGCCUUCGGGAGCGCAGUGACAGGUGGUGCAUGGCUGUCGUCAGCUCGUGUCGUGAGAUGUUGGGUUAAGUCCCGCAACGAGCGCAACCCACGUUUUUAGUUGCCAGCAUUAAGUUGGGCACUCUAGAGAGACUGCCGGUGAUAAACCGGAGGAAGGUGUGGAUGACGUCAAGUCAUCAUGCCCCUUACAUCCUGGGCUACACACGUACUACAAUGCUACGGACAAAGGGCAGCAAACUCGCGAGAGCUGGCAAAUCCCAUAAACCGUGGCUCAGUUCAGAUCGUAGGCUGCAACUCGCCUACGUGAAGGAGGAAUCGCUAGUAAUCGCAGGUCAGCAUACUGCGGUGAAUACGUUCCCGGGCCUUGUACACACCGCCCGUCACACCAUGGAAGUUGGCCACGCCCGAAGUCGUUACUCCAACCCGCAAGGGAGGAGGAUGCCGAAGGUGGGGCUGAUGACUGGGGUGAAGUCGUAACAAGGUA
Molecule: ribosomal RNA, 1444 nt
Filed under: metagenome
Description: bacterial SSU rRNA
Rfam family: Bacterial small subunit ribosomal RNA
Source: RNAcentral